UCAGAUUGGAAACUGGGGACAGAUCAUUCCUGGGAUGUGACGGGCACCAGAAUGCUCCCUCUCCAAAGGAUCUAAGGACCAAAGCUGACAGUUUCUUUACUUGAGGUAGCUGACAGCAUCUACUCCUGAAGACCGGAAACAUGGCUUGUACCAUCCAAAAGGCAGAAGCACUUGACGGGGCUCAUUUGAUGCAGAUCCUCUGGUAUGAUGAGGAAGAGUCUC
Molecule: long non-coding RNA, 222 nt
Filed under: Homo sapiens (human)
Lineage: Eukaryota; Metazoa; Chordata; Mammalia; Primates; Hominidae
Description: HSALNT0173238
Source: RNAcentral